This 1056-nucleotide small RNA is filed under the name Mytilus galloprovincialis (Mediterranean mussel). The record is from RNAcentral. Lineage: Eukaryota; Metazoa; Mollusca; Bivalvia; Mytilida; Mytilidae.
CUUAAAUAUUGGUUGAAAAUUGUUACCAAGAAACCUCCUAUUGUAUUUGAUGUAUAUAAAAUGUUAGUUAAUGAUGCUGAGAAUGGUAAAACAAAAUGGGCGUCAAAUGUUCGUACCUUGUUAAAUGAUCUUGGUUAUAAUUUUUUAUGGUAUAACCAAGAAAAUGUAUUUUUUUCAUAUGAUGUUUUGAAACUACGCCUCUAUGAUCAGUUUAUACAAAGCUGGCGUUCUAGUAUGUUGGAUUGUGAAAAAUUGGAUAUUUUGAAAAUGUUCAAAAUUGACUUUUGUUUGGAAAAAUAUUUACUUCUUGAUGUCAAUGUUAAACUCUUAACACAACUUAGAUGUGGUUCACUUAAACUCAACAUUGAAACUGGUAGAUAUAAUAAUGUGCCUCGUAAUGAAAGACUACAGAGACGUGCAAAAAGUAUUCGGUCACAAUGGCGUCGUGUUUACGUUUGUACAGGUGACCGACUUUUAAAUGGCCUUGCCCCACGUCAAUCACGUCACUGAGUAUUACUGUACUAGUCUUUUAGCGUUGUGCAUCACAUGGGCUACCGUCAUGUGACGUUUGUUGUCGUCUGCCAUUGUAGUUUCGUUAAAACAAGUAAAAUAACAAAGAUGGGUAGAAAAGGUCAGGAACUGUCAACAGAUGUCAAAAACAUGAUUGUGGAAAUGUUCCAGAAUGGAUUUUCUCGACGAAAAAUCGCUGACAUACUUAGAAUUCCCAAGUCAACAGUUAUUGACAAUGUUCGAAAAUUUUUAGACACGGGUUCUGUGGAGAAUAAACCCAGAAGUGGCCGACCAUUGUUUGUAAAACCACGCGACUACCGCAAGCUUGAACGCAUUGUAAAGACAAGUCGGAGGAGCACUUUAUGUGACAUAACAAACAAGUUUAAUGAGGAAAAUUGUGUUCCCGUGUCUAAACGUACCAUCCAGCACCAUUUACAUAAACAUGGGUAUCACAGGUGUGUAAAUAAGAAAAAAAAUCGUGAUCCGGGAAGUCAAUCGGAAAAAAAGACUUGCAUGGUGCAGAGAAAAAAGGAGAUGGACGGUUAA